Molecule: transfer RNA, 20 nt
Filed under: Eretmochelys imbricata (hawksbill sea turtle)
Lineage: Eukaryota; Metazoa; Chordata; Testudines; Cheloniidae
Description: partial tRNA-Pro
Source: RNAcentral
UUUCCUAGAAUAAUCAAAAG